GGCAAUUUUUUUUUCAUUUUUUGUAUAGAUGAGGUCUUGCCAUGUUACCCUGGCUAAGGUUCUUAUAUAGUAAGUGGCUUAGAUUGUAGAUUUAGAACCAAAACAUCGAUCUCUUGCCCCUCCAGUCAGUGCUUCUUGUACUGGAAUGGAUCUCUAGACUUGGUGUAUGCACUCUCAAUAGUGUGUAUCGAAGGAGAGGAGAGGGCAGAGCAGGGGUAGUAGGGUGGGCUGGCCAUUUUCUUGUGAGUUGAGAGGCUUAGACUCUGUUGGCACUAAGUGUCUUCUGAUUUUAAAGAAGUCUCCUUACCUCCCGCUGCCUCAGUUCCUUUCUGUAAACCAGAGGAGAAGGGAAAUUGUAGGAUACUCUCCUAAUAUGAUCUCGUGUUCUAGGAAAGUCGUAUGAAGGCGGAAGUGAAAGUAGAUAAUCUAUUUUAUUUCGUAUGAUUUUACCAACACAUCUGUUGAAAUUUUUUUUAAAACGUCAUCAUUCUGGUUCACAUUUGCUUUUUUAAGACACAUAUUUGAGAAUUCAGCCACUGGGCUUAUUUAUACUCAUUAUUAUUCUAGGAUAAUCUUUGGGGUUUGAAAUCACUUAUAAUCCCAUAACACAAAACUGUGACGAACGUGUCCUCUGACCUACAUGAAUUAUUUUCUGUGAAAAUGAAAGUCGUGGACAGCCCUAAUUAAAUCCCUGCUGAGCAGAUGCCAGUGCUUAGGACAGCUCUCCACGUGAUCCAUAGAAACAAAUCAAGGUUUGCAGUUGGAGAACCACCAAAAGCAAGCCAGUGACUGUUCCUAUGGCUUGUAAACACAAAAGAAAAUAUUAAAAAGUACACAUGAGAUACAAAGAAUACUAUUACAAGCAGGCCCAAGUCAGCCACUCAGCUUAGGCCUUAGAGCUGUGUCAGUAUCGCUGAAGACUCUAAGGACUGGGCCUUCCCGACGCCAUUCCUUCUCCUUCCUCCCAGAGCCACCAUCGUCUAAUGUUGUGUUCAUAAUUGACUUAAUUUCCUUUCUCAUUUUCCUAUAUAACCAUGUAUCCUUAAAGUAUAUGUUGCUAAAUCUUGCAUAUAUUUGAAGUUUCCAUUUAAGAUAAGUGGCAUUAUAUUGUAGAUAACCCAGUCUUUGGUUCAAGUUUAUGUUUGGGAAGUCAUCCACGGGUGUUGACAUUUUCAGCUGAAUGUCAUUCAUUUUCACUAUUCUAUAGAAUUCCAUUGCAUGAAUAUCCCAAGAUGUAUUUACUCAUAGGGGGAUUUUUUUCUUUUAAUUACACAAUUAUAUUAUCUUAGUAUUAUACAUACAUAACAAUUAUCAUACCCUAUUACCCAAAAGUUGUAAACAUUCUGUGAAUAUAGGCUCCAAUACAUAGACGAUUGAGCUGUGAACUCAUUAAUUUUCUACAUAGUUUCUUUGGAAACCAAAGAUUUGAAAGCCAGAGUUAUUGCUGAUCUCCUCUUUCUGCUUCAUUAGGCCUGCCUUUCCCGGUAACCUGUUCCUCAAAUAAUAUUUCUCCCAACUGUGACACCAACUAGAUGUCAAAACCUCAGUGAUAUCCGUUGAUGUCAAAACAUCAAUUUAUGUCAAAUAUAAUUUAACCUAAAGCCGUUUCCUUUAUUAGAAUGAUAAUGUCAUUUAUCAUAUGUCUUUUCUUUCACUUUCCCUGAUUUUAGUUAUUAAAACAACACCCCACUUCAAUGUGCUCAUUUGUAAAAUAGCAAUGCCAUUACUAACUUGUGUCUGUUACAGAGAGUAUCCUACAAAGAUGGUCUCAAAGUACUUUGAGAUGAACAGAAUGUUCUAUAAAUGGGUAUUGAAAAUAAUCAAGACAUUCAUGGAUCCAAACAGGCCACAGAAAUACCAUAGCAACAAAUGAACAAUAAUUGCUGCAUUAUGGGCUCUUUCCCCAGCUGCACUCAUGCAAUCAAAGCUCUGCUGCGUCUUCAGAGGAGCCCAGGUCAGAUCUGGCUGCCAUCACCCAUGAGGAAGACGUGCGGAGCCAGACAGGUGCCUGGAGGAAAGGUGGGUGUGUGCUGUCCUGCCCCAUCCUCUCUGUUUCCCUCCCACGUGUUUGCAGAGACGUCCUCAGCAUGGAACCAGGGCCCUUGACAGAGACAUUGUCAUUCUGGACACCCCACACCCAAGCCAGUUCAUCCAAGUCACCCGAUAAAAUUGUGCUCUGAAGAAACUGCCUGUUUCAGCAAACUCCUUACCUUACUGGACGCAUAGCGAUGGCCAGCACAGGAUGAGGCCAUGGGAGGAUCUUAAUGACACAGUCCACUCUGCAAACCAAGGUCAACAAGGCAGCAGUGCCCAGAAGAGGGCAGAGCCUGGACAUCCUAGAAAGUGGUCUUCAUGACAGAGGAUUCCUGCCAAUGACUUGGAUGUAGCUUUCCAAAGCUGUGUGAAGAAAUACAGCUUUGGCGUGACUAAUGAGGACAGAUGUGGAAUUUCUGCUCCUGAGAAAUCUUUAAACACAAAUAAUAUACUAUUUUUUGUUCCGUACAAGCUAGAAAUUUACCUAAGGACAAGAAGCUAGUCCUGGUAAUAUCCCGUGAUCCUUUUUAGUUGUAGUUUCCUAUGGCUUAGCAAUUCAUCGGAAUAUGAAAGUAUUCAAGGCCAAGAUGGUGGCUCACGCCGGUAAUGCUAGCACGUUGAGGGGCCGGGACAGGUGGAUCACUUAAGGCCAGGAGUUCAAGACCAGCCUGGGAAAUAUGGUGAAACCCCAUCUCUACUAAAAAUACAAAAAUCAGCCGGGAAUGGUAGUGCAUGCCUGUAAUCUCAGCUACUCAGGAGGCUGAGGCACAAGAAUUGCUUGAAUCCAGGAGGCAGAGGUUACAGUGAGCUGAGAUCGCAGCACUGCACUCCGUCCUGGGUGACAGAGCAAGACUCUAUUAAAAAAAAAAAAAAGUAUUCAAGGGCGUUCAUAUUGUUAAAGUGAUAACAUCUCAUUUUUCAUAAAAGUUAGAUAUGAUUUAAAUCAUUAAUUUAAGACAGAGUUUUUCUAAAUUUUAGACGAGCAAUAUUAACUAAACAUACGCAACACUUAUGAUCAUAUAGAAAUACAAACACAAGUCUGUUGGCUUUUAAAGAACAAAAUGCAAGAACUCCAAAUAGACUAUGACCACACUUUUGUCUGCUUUUAACACUGCGUGAAGCUAAAUGUCCUGCCACAUUUUAGUGUAUGUAAUGUGUCAAAACCAAGCAGUAUCUUACAUUAAAACAUUAUUUGUCAACAAUUCAUGCUUUUAUCACAUAAUUUUAAAAUAAGUAGAACAAUAAAAAAU
Homo sapiens (human) is the source of this 3284-nucleotide long non-coding RNA. Ensembl annotates it as long intergenic non-protein coding RNA 683. The record is from Ensembl. Lineage: Eukaryota; Metazoa; Chordata; Mammalia; Primates; Hominidae.